This 274-nucleotide unclassified non-coding RNA is filed under the name uncultured fungus. RNAcentral describes it as "partial contains 5.8S ribosomal RNA, internal transcribed spacer 2, and large subunit ribosomal RNA". The stretch from base 1 to 52 matches the Rfam family "5.8S ribosomal RNA", at positions 103 to 154 of the family's 154-position model. The record is from RNAcentral. Lineage: Eukaryota; Fungi.
AACGCACAUUGCGCCCGCCAGUAUUCUGGCGGGCAUGCCUGUUCGAGCGUCAUUUCAACCCUCAAGCCCCCGGGCUUGGUGUUGGGGAUCGGCACCGGACGGCGGCCCCCCGGGGCCCCCGCCCGCCGUCCCCCAAAUCCAGUGGCGGUCACGCCGCGGCCUCUUGCGCGUAGUAGCAACACCUCGCACCGGAGCCCGACGUGCCCACGCCGUAAAACCCCCGACUUUUAUUCAAGUUGACCUCGAAUCAGGUAGGACUACCCGCUGAACUUAA